GUGUUAUUUUGAAAUCAAUUGUUGUUUUUGAAAACGCGCCCUAAAGCUAUCCAAUUUCAACAGUUAAAAUAAGUAUUACCUAUCUUAGUAAUACAUAUUAAAACCAUCAAAAAUAAUUAAGCGGCCUUAUUACAUUUAAAAACCUAAAACUUCAAAUGUAAAUAAAAGGAUGUCCAGUUCAGCAUAAGAAAAUCAAACUUUCAGAACGGGUGGCCACUCCGAAUUCCCUCACAGCUCCAAUCCCACUAUGGUUGGGGAUUUCCUGCGUGGAUGAAAAUAAAAGGGGUGAGUUUGGGGAAACUCAGUGUGUAAGGAAAACCCAUUCAAAGCCCAAGUCAGCUCAAGCCCAUUGGGCCUAAGCCCAUUUAGGUAAUAGUGGUACUGGGCUAGAGCCCUUUUCAGAUUACAAUAAACUGGGCCUUAGCCCCUUAUUCAGAUAACAGUAUGGCCCAUAGGCCCAUUUCAAAAUACAUGCAACACCAGUAAACAUAUGCAAGCCCAUUUGGGUAACAGUGGUACUGGGCCAGAGCCCUUUUCAGAUUACAAUAAACUGGGCCUUAGCCCCUUAUUCAGAUAACAGUAUGGCCCAUAGGCCCAUUUCAAAAUACAUGCAACAUCAAUAACAUAUGCAAGCCCAUUUGGGGAGACUACUCAACCCACCAACCACUACACUUCACCCGUACCAGCCACACACUCCAUGUGGGGAAUAGCUCAACCCACCCAGCCCAACACUCCACAGUUGCAGCCUUGCUGCUCAGUUAACAGUAAAUUGAGGCAAAGCCUCCAGUACGUGGACAAGCCACUUUCAGUACUUCCUCCGUCAAUAUCCCAGUCCCAUGCAUCAGAUAAUAACAACAUGGCAUGUAGUAAAUAACAACAGUCAAACAUGUAUUUUGGUAAUUUAUCUACUAGGGGUAAAAUUGUAAAUUUUCCACUUUUAAAGGUAUUUCAGUAAUUUAUCUAUUUUAGGGUUUUUCAUGCAUAUUCCUACUUUUCACGUACUAACAGAAUCACGUACCGAGUGUUCUUACCGAAUUGGGCCCGUUGGCCCAUAUUCCAAUUUUGGCCCAUUAAGCCCAAAAAUAUCGAGGGUACAGAAAUCAUGCACUUUGCAGUCCAAAUUUUGCAGUUUACCAAAAACAUUAAUCGAUUUACCUCACGAGCGUUCGCACACUCGCAAAUCUACAAAAUACCGGUUUUCGGCAUUUCGGCUUUUCGACUUUUGCCGAUCCAAACUAAGAAAGAGGGUGUUACUUACACACCUGUUUGCGACGAUAUGCUGACGAGAUCCACACACAAACUGCCUACAAUUUGAUUACUAACACGUUAAUCUAACUAUUCAAAUACGAACUACGUAUUAACCCCUUACAAUAUUCGGCCAACCACACCUACAGAUCAUAGUAAGCUUAUAAGAAAUCAAUAAGCAACUCAUUAACAAAUUUUUGUCAAUGUUUACCACAUAAUCAUAAUUUCACUGCAAGCUGUCUUCCUGAGCAGCAGUCACUAAAUUAUUUAUAACUGGAGCUACGAAACUCCAAAUCAAGUGCCGUUAAUUUUCCAUGAAAAUAGACUCAUAUAUCUUCUAUCCAUAAAAUUUUCAGAAUUUUUGGUAUGGCCAAUCAAUACCAUAUUUUUCUCAAAGUUUCGCAUGUUUCACUGUUUGACUAAUCUGACCACUCUUCUUUACGAAUCAAAUUUAUCAUUGUACAAAAUUCAAAAUAUGUUCUCGUUUAUUUCAUUUGAAACUAGACUCAACAAGAUUUAAUUACAUAAUUUAUUCAGCUUCUAAUUCAUCUCCCACAAUUUAUGGUGAUUUUCCAAAGUCACGUUACUGCUGCUGUCCCAAGCAGAUUUAUUACCAAAUUCACUCUUUCACACAUAACUUGCAUGCUUGUUAUUUAAACAUGUAUAUCACCAAUCAAUCAUCACAUAUCUAUGAUUUUACUUAAGUAUAAUCUCCAUUUCAUCAUUUUAAAGCACAACAUGUUAGCUGAUUUUUCCCUUUAACAUCUAAGGCACAUGCAUGCUCAUUUGUUUGGCUCAACUUCACCUAUCUUCCAUUUUUUCAUCAAAAGAACACGAAACAACAACCAUUUCCUUCAUUUUAAUUCAUGACUAAAUGCUCACAACACAACUAAAAACCAAAAUAUGCUUCAAGAGUUAAGGUAGAAUCAAGAAGAACUCAUGAACCUCAAAAUAGAAGCAAGGUACCAAGAACUUACCUUCAAUUUUCCUCCUCCUAAUGACCGAAUACUCAAGAGCUUUCUCCUCUCCUUUCUCUUCUCUAACUUUC
This 2293-nucleotide long non-coding RNA is filed under the name Gossypium barbadense (sea-island cotton). RNAcentral's name for it is "long non-coding RNA (GBAR_LNC003965)". The record is from RNAcentral. Lineage: Eukaryota; Viridiplantae; Streptophyta; Magnoliopsida; Malvales; Malvaceae.